This 253-nucleotide ribosomal RNA is filed under the name uncultured bacterium. RNAcentral's name for it is "partial 16S ribosomal RNA". It matches the Rfam family "Bacterial small subunit ribosomal RNA", at positions 524 to 776 of the family's 1533-position model. The record is from RNAcentral.
UACGGAGGGAGCUAGCGUUGUUCGGAAUUACUGGGCGUAAAGCGCACGUAGGCGGCUUUGUAAGUUAGAGGUGAAAGCCCGGGGCUCAACCCCGGAAUUGCCUUUAAGACUGCAUCGCUUGAAUCCGGGAGAGGUGAGUGGAAUUCCGAGUGUAGAGGUGAAAUUCGUAGAUAUUCGGAAGAACACCAGUGGCGAAGGCGGCUCACUGGCCCGUUACCGACGCUCAGGCGCGACAGCGUGGGGAGCAAACAGG